AUGAACGCUGGCGGCGUGCCUAAUACAUGCAAGUCGAGCGAACAGACGAGGAGCUUGCUCCUCUGACGUUAGCGGCGGACGGGUGAGUAACACGUGGAUAACCUACCUAUAAGACUGGGAUAACUUCGGGAAACCGGAGCUAAUACCGGAUAAUAUAUUGAACCGCAUGGUUCAAUAGUGAAAGACGGUUUUGCUGUCACUUAUAGAUGGAUCCGCGCCGCAUUAGCUAGUUGGUAAGGUAACGGCUUACCAAGGCAACGAUGCGUAGCCGACCUGAGAGGGUGAUCGGCCACACUGGAACUGAGACACGGUCCAGACUCCUACGGGAGGCAGCAGUAGGGAAUCUUCCGCAAUGGGCGAAAGCCUGACGGAGCAACGCCGCGUGAGUGAUGAAGGUCUUCGGAUCGUAAAACUCUGUUAUUAGGGAAGAACAAAUGUGUAAGUAACUAUGCACGUCUUGACGGUACCUAAUCAGAAAGCCACAGCUAACUACGUG
RNAcentral lists this ribosomal RNA (496 nucleotides) under uncultured bacterium. Its description in RNAcentral is "partial 16S ribosomal RNA". It matches the Rfam family "Bacterial small subunit ribosomal RNA", at positions 29 to 507 of the family's 1533-position model. The record is from RNAcentral.